UGCUGGGUGUAUUCCCGGCGCUAUUGAAAAACCGAAAAUUCUGACGCAUCGUAGGUAAAUUUAGUGCAACGUCCUCGAAAGAACGCUACAAGCCGUACGAUGCGAUUCGUAUCGAGUUAUAGUUCGUUGUUAUUAACGUUGUCGCUGACGUAGCCAUUCAUUGAUCGCGGCUGACGAUGCAGAAACAGAUCUAAUUCGGAUUUUCCGGUGCAGAUUCGGUGGAUGCUCCUUUUACGGUUCCACGCAUAGCUAUCAGCCUGAGACGUCAUGCUAAAAGAAGAAUGAGAAAAAGACCAGAAAUAUAUAAAGAAACAGGGGAUAAUGUGAGAAAACAGAAUGAAGCUCUAACAUAACACGCAAAAUCACGUUAUAAGCAUAUGCAAGAUAUAAAUAAAUAAUUCCAGAGAAUUUCAUACAAAUCGAACUUCUUUUAAAGUCAAAUCUUUUUUAGAGGAAAAUUACAUGAAGUAAUCAAAUAUACUACGAUUGGCCAUCGAAAUGAUAAUAAAUAUAUCCACUGCAGAAGGAAUUUUUAAUUCCUCUAACUGCGCAGCAAAGUCAACGGACAUUUGGCAGCCAACAUCGAAUCAAGUAAUUAGACGAAUCCGAGUCAAGUUGAUUACGUAAUCAUAGCAGAUUCGAGUCAAAAUUUCAUAAGAUGACAAUCCAAACGACGAAAUAAGUGAAUUCCUUGUGAAAAAAAGCAUUAUUCGUUAUAAAUAAUCUUCAGAAUUUUGGGAUGUCUCACAGAAAAAGCUCGGUCAUUUAUUUUUCAGAAUGAUAUACAAGUUUUCUAGAAUUUUUCAAAUUGUUUCUUGGUUAACCAUAAUUAUUUAUAGAUAGAAGGAAUCCUAAUUGAGAAGAAAAAUUACUGUAACGCUGAAAUCGCUGAUCAGGUAAGCAUAAUAUAGGUAAGUAUGUAGAGAUAAAAACUUAGAUUUAAGUAAACUGUCAAAAAAAAUGAUUAAUUUUUAAAAUCCACUCAAAUGAGGUAAGUAUCAAUAUGGUAAGUAUUUCAGGUAAGUAUAGGUAAGUAUAUAGAUAUAAUAUACAUAAAAUUUGAUAAAAAAUCUUUAUUUUUACAUAUCUUUAAAAUUUUAUUUAUCAUUUGUUCAUUUAUUAUAUUCUCCGAAUAAGAAGACAAAAUUUUAAUCGAAAAACUUUGGACUUAGAAUUUCUCAAAAAAUUUCUCGAACGACCUCCUAUCAACUCAUGUUUUCCUAAUACAAAGUCGAAAAUUUAGCCAAAAAUUUCGUUCGUUCAGGAAUUUGGAAAAUUCCAGGAAUUUGACGUCAUUUCUAGGAAUUUCUAAAAUUCUUAGAAUUUGACGUCAUUUCCAAGA
Long non-coding RNA from Apis laboriosa (Himalayan honeybee), 1342 nucleotides. RefSeq lists it as uncharacterized. NCBI's taxonomy places the organism in Eukaryota, Metazoa, Arthropoda, Insecta, Hymenoptera, Apidae. The record is from RefSeq and is a predicted model, not a curated record. The transcript is spliced from 3 exons.